GGAACAAAAUGGCUUGUCAAUGGAGACUUUAAUCAAAUUUACCGUGCUAGAGACAAAAACCAAGCUAAUGUUGAUCGUAGCCGUCUUGUGCGAUUUUGGAACACUCUUGCAAAUUGCAGACUAAAAGAGAUUCAUCUUGAGAACCGGAAGUUCACUUGGAGCAACGAGCGCUCUAAUCCAACAUUGUGUAAACUCGACGAAUUCUUCUGCAACGAUAACUGGGAUAUCGAGUUCGGCUCCCAUAUUCUACACGCUUUAUCAUCUUCGCUCUCUGACCACUGCCCGUUACUGCUGGCUAAUGACGAUGGCCCGCGGAAACCCAAAACCUUCCGCUUCGAGAACUACUGGACUAAGAUGCCCGGAUUCAAAAAGGUUGUCGCUGAUGCUUGGGUUGAGGACUCCAUUCAUGUGGAGCCAUACCAAUUUUUCCACAGGCUAAAGACUACAGCUGCUAGACUUCGCUCCUGGAGCAAGUCUCUUUUCUCAAACGCAAAGAUCCAGCUUCACAUGGCUCUCGAGGUGAUCCUUCGUCUCGAUUUGGCCCAGGAACAUAGAGAACUCUCCCAUGAUGAAUGCGAUAUUCGAAGAAGGUUAAAGAGGAAGAUCAUUAGGUGGGCUGUUUUGGAAAAAUCAAGAAAGAGGCAAAAUUCGAGAAUAACUAAUCUGAAAGAGGGUGAUGCUAACACCCGUUACUUCCAUUUGCGGGUCAACCAUCGUAGGCGAAAAAAAUUUAUUCACCGCCUCAAGCACAACGGUGGCUGGGUCACGGAACACAAGCUUAAGGAGAACAUUAUCCACUGUCACUUCAAGAACAUCACUAAAAAAGGCCCCGCGUGCAAAACAGAUAUCAACUGGGACAUUCUUCCUAUUCCAGAUUGCGACCUUCAUGAGUUGGAUGAGGUCAUCUCCGAGGAGGAGGUCAAAGCCGCAGUUUUUUCAUUGCCAAGCGAUAAGGCACCGGGUCCGGAUGGCUUUACCGGGGCCUUCUUCAAAUCUUGUUGA
This 1002-nucleotide ribosomal RNA is filed under the name Triticum aestivum (bread wheat). Its description in RNAcentral is "partial small subunit ribosomal RNA". The record is from RNAcentral. Lineage: Eukaryota; Viridiplantae; Streptophyta; Magnoliopsida; Poales; Poaceae.